Molecule: ribosomal RNA, 284 nt
Filed under: uncultured prokaryote
Description: partial 16S ribosomal RNA
Rfam family: Bacterial small subunit ribosomal RNA
Source: RNAcentral
CACGGGGGUUGCGAGCGUUGUCCGGAAUUACUAGGCGUAAAGGGCAGGCAGGCGGAUCCAUAAGUUUAUCGUUUAAGGCGUCGGCUUAACCGGCGUAGGGCGGUAGAUACUGUGGAUCUGGAAUGCGGUUGGGGAAGACAGAAUUCCUGGUGUAGCGGUGGAAUGCGCAGAGAUCAGGAGGAAUACCGAAGGCGAAGGCAGUCUUCCAAGCCGUUAUUGACGCUCAACUACGAAGGUGUGGGUAUCAAACAGGAUUAGAUACCCCGGUAGUCCCUGAGCGGGCU